RNAcentral lists this ribosomal RNA (440 nucleotides) under uncultured bacterium. RNAcentral describes it as "partial 16S ribosomal RNA". It matches the Rfam family "Bacterial small subunit ribosomal RNA", at positions 338 to 795 of the family's 1533-position model. The record is from RNAcentral.
CCUACGGGCGGCAGCAGUGGGGAAUAUUGCACAAUGGGGGGAACCCUGAUGCAGCAACGCCGCGUGGGUGAAGAAGUACUCCGGUAUGUAAAGCCCUGUCAGCCGGGAAGAAAAUGACGGUACCUGACCAAGAAGCCCCGGCUCAAGACGUGCCAGCAGCCGCGGUAAUAAGUAGGGGGCAAGCGGUAUCCAGAAUUACUGGGGGUAAAGGGGGCGUAGACGGGAAGGCAAGUUUGGAGUGAAAGCCCGUGGGCCAACCACGGGACUGCUUUGGAAACUGUGUUGCUGGAGUGCAGGAGGGGUAAGCGGAAUUCCUAGUGUAGCGGUGAAAUGCGUAGAUAUUAGGAGGAACACCGGUGGCGAAGGCGGCUUACUGGACUGUAACUGACGUUGAGGCUCGAAGGCGUGGGGAGCAAACAGGAUUAGAUACCCUGGUAGUC